Molecule: ribosomal RNA, 2925 nt
Filed under: Escherichia coli
Lineage: Bacteria; Pseudomonadati; Pseudomonadota; Gammaproteobacteria; Enterobacterales; Enterobacteriaceae
Description: partial 23S ribosomal RNA
Rfam family: Bacterial large subunit ribosomal RNA
Source: RNAcentral
GGGUUGUGAGGUUAAGCGACUAAGCGUACACGGUGGAUGCCCUGGCAGUCAGAGGCGAUGAAGGACGUGCUAAUCUGCGAUAAGCGUCGGUAAGGUGAUAUGAACCGUUAUAACCGGCGAUUUCCGAAUGGGGAAACCCAGUGUGAUUCGUCACACUAUCAUUAACUGAAUCCAUAGGUUAAUGAGGCGAACCGGGGGAACUGAAACAUCUAAGUACCCCGAGGAAAAGAAAUCAACCGAGAUUCCCCCAGUAGCGGCGAGCGAACGGGGAGCAGCCCAGAGCCUGAAUCAGUGUGUGUGUUAGUGGAAGCGUCUGGAAAGGCGCGCGAUACAGGGUGACAGCCCCGUACACAAAAAUGCACAUGCUGUGAGCUCGAUGAGUAGGGCGGGACACGUGGUAUCCUGUCUGAAUAUGGGGGGACCAUCCUCCAAGGCUAAAUACUCCUGACUGACCGAUAGUGAACCAGUACCGUGAGGGAAAGGCGAAAAGAACCCCGGCGAGGGGAGUGAAAAAGAACCUGAAACCGUGUACGUACAAGCAGUGGGAGCACGCUUAGGCGUGUGACUGCGUACCUUUUGUAUAAUGGGUCAGCGACUUAUAUUCUGUAGCAAGGUUAACCGAAUAGGGGAGCCGAAGGGAAACCGAGUCUUAACUGGGCGUUAAGUUGCAGGGUAUAGACCCGAAACCCGGUGAUCUAGCCAUGGGCAGGUUGAAGGUUGGGUAACACUAACUGGAGGACCGAACCGACUAAUGUUGAAAAAUUAGCGGAUGACUUGUGGCUGGGGGUGAAAGGCCAAUCAAACCGGGAGAUAGCUGGUUCUCCCCGAAAGCUAUUUAGGUAGCGCCUCGUGAAUUCAUCUCCGGGGGUAGAGCACUGUUUCGGCAAGGGGGUCAUCCCGACUUACCAACCCGAUGCAAACUGCGAAUACCGGAGAAUGUUAUCACGGGAGACACACGGCGGGUGCUAACGUCCGUCGUGAAGAGGGAAACAACCCAGACCGCCAGCUAAGGUCCCAAAGUCAUGGUUAAGUGGGAAACGAUGUGGGAAGGCCCAGACAGCCAGGAUGUUGGCUUAGAAGCAGCCAUCAUUUAAAGAAAGCGUAAUAGCUCACUGGUCGAGUCGGCCUGCGCGGAAGAUGUAACGGGGCUAAACCAUGCACCGAAGCUGCGGCAGCGACGCUUAUGCGUUGUUGGGUAGGGGAGCGUUCUGUAAGCCUGUGAAGGUGUACUGUGAGGUAUGCUGGAGGUAUCAGAAGUGCGAAUGCUGACAUAAGUAACGAUAAAGCGGGUGAAAAGCCCGCUCGCCGGAAGACCAAGGGUUCCUGUCCAACGUUAAUCGGGGCAGGGUGAGUCGACCCCUAAGGCGAGGCCGAAAGGCGUAGUCGAUGGGAAACAGGUUAAUAUUCCUGUACUUGGUGUUACUGCGAAGGGGGGACGGAGAAGGCUAUGUUGGCCGGGCGACGGUUGUCCCGGUUUAAGCGUGUAGGCUGGUUUUCCAGGCAAAUCCGGAAAACUAAGGCUGAGGCGUGAUGACGAGGCACUACGGUGCUGAAGCAACAAAUGCCCUGCUUCCAGGAAAAGCCUCUAAGCAUCAGGUAACAUCAAAUCGUACCCCAAACCGACACAGGUGGUCAGGUAGAGAAUACCAAGGCGCUUGAGAGAACUCGGGUGAAGGAACUAGGCAAAAUGGUGCCGUAACUUCGGGAGAAGGCACGCUGAUAUGUAGGUGAAGUCCCUCGCGGAUGGAGCUGAAAUCAGUCGAAGAUACCAGCUGGCUGCAACUGUUUAUUAAAAACACAGCACUGUGCAAACACGAAAGUGGACGUAUACGGUGUGACGCCUGCCCGGUGCCGGAAGGUUAAUUGAUGGGGUUAGCGCAAGCGAAGCUCUUGAUCGAAGCCCCGGUAAACGGCGGCCGUAACUAUAACGGUCCUAAGGUAGCGAAAUUCCUUGUCGGGUAAGUUCCGACCUGCACGAAUGGCGUAAUGAUGGCCAGGCUGUCUCCACCCGAGACUCAGUGAAAUUGAACUCGCUGUGAAGAUGCAGUGUACCCGCGGCAAGACGGAAAGACCCCGUGAACCUUUACUAUAGCUUGACACUGAACAUUGAGCCUUGAUGUGUAGGAUAGGUGGGAGGCUUUGAAGUGUGGACGCCAGUCUGCAUGGAGCCGACCUUGAAAUACCACCCUUUAAUGUUUGAUGUUCUAACGUUGACCCGUAAUCCGGGUUGCGGACAGUGUCUGGUGGGUAGUUUGACUGGGGCGGUCUCCUCCUAAAGAGUAACGGAGGAGCACGAAGGUUGGCUAAUCCUGGUCGGACAUCAGGAGGUUAGUGCAAUGGCAUAAGCCAGCUUGACUGCGAGCGUGACGGCGCGAGCAGGUGCGAAAGCAGGUCAUAGUGAUCCGGUGGUUCUGAAUGGAAGGGCCAUCGCUCAACGGAUAAAAGGUACUCCGGGGAUAACAGGCUGAUACCGCCCAAGAGUUCAUAUCGACGGCGGUGUUUGGCACCUCGAUGUCGGCUCAUCACAUCCUGGGGCUGAAGUAGGUCCCAAGGGUAUGGCUGUUCGCCAUUUAAAGUGGUACGCGAGCUGGGUUUAGAACGUCGUGAGACAGUUCGGUCCCUAUCUGCCGUGGGCGCUGGAGAACUGAGGGGGGCUGCUCCUAGUACGAGAGGACCGGAGUGGACGCAUCACUGGUGUUCGGGUUGUCAUGCCAAUGGCACUGCCCGGUAGCUAAAUGCGGAAGAGAUAAGUGCUGAAAGCAUCUAAGCACGAAACUUGCCCCGAGAUGAGUUCUCCCUGACUCCUUGAGAGUCCUGAAGGAACGUUGAAGACGACGACGUUGAUAGGCCGGGUGUGUAAGCGCAGCGAUGCGUUGAGCUAACCGGUACUAAUGAACCGUGAGGCUUAACCUUACAACGCCGAAG